UGAGGAACAUGACCUUCGCGGGGGAGUAGCCGGCCCAACGGCCGGGUAAUACCGCGUACGACCACAUGGGGUCAUCCCUGAGUGGUGAAAGCAGCAAUGCGCCGAUGGAGUGCCUCGCGGCCUAUCAGCUAGUUGGUGAGGUAACGGCUCACCAAGGCGACGACGGGUAGCUGGUCUGAGAGGAUGGCCAGCCCACAUUGGGACUGGGACACGGCCCAGCUCCUAGGGACGG
Molecule: ribosomal RNA, 232 nt
Filed under: uncultured bacterium
Lineage: Bacteria
Description: partial 16S ribosomal RNA
Rfam family: Bacterial small subunit ribosomal RNA
Source: RNAcentral